UACGGGGGGGGCAAGCGUUGUUCGGAAUUACUGGGCGUAAAGGGCUCGUAGGCGGCCAACUAAGUCGGACGUGAAAUCCCCAGGCUCAACCUGGGAACUGCGUCCGAUACUGGAUGGCUUGAAUCCGGGAGAGGGAUGCAGAAUUCCAGGUGUAGCGGUGAAAUGCGUAGAUAUCGGGAGGAACAUCAGUGGCGAAGGCGGCCCUCUGGUCCAGUACUGACACUCAAGUGCGAAAGCGUGGGGAGCAAACAGG
Molecule: ribosomal RNA, 253 nt
Filed under: uncultured bacterium
Lineage: Bacteria
Description: partial 16S ribosomal RNA
Rfam family: Bacterial small subunit ribosomal RNA
Source: RNAcentral